This 274-nucleotide unclassified non-coding RNA is filed under the name uncultured Onygenales. RNAcentral's name for it is "sequence contains 5.8S rRNA gene, ITS2, 28S rRNA gene". The stretch from base 1 to 52 matches the Rfam family "5.8S ribosomal RNA", at positions 103 to 154 of the family's 154-position model. Lineage: Eukaryota; Fungi; Ascomycota; Eurotiomycetes; Onygenales. The record is from RNAcentral.
AACGCAUAUUGCGCCCUUUGGUAUUCCGAAGGGCAUGUCUGUCCGAGCGUCAUUAUCAUCCUUCAAGCACUUAAAGCUUGUGUUGAGCUAUUUUGUUCUUUAUUAAAAAUGAACAAGCUCGAAAUGCAGCGGCGAUGCCUAAGUUUGGUGCCCAAGCAUUAUAGGGCUUUGUCACAUGCUUUCGUGGCCCAGACUGGUAAUGUUCUGCCUUAAACUUUAUUAUAAUUUAAUCAAGAUUGACCUCGGAUCAGGCAAGAAUACCCGCUGAACUUAA